GUCUCCAUGGCGCAAUUGGCUAGCGCGUUCGGCAGUUAACCGAAAGGUUGGAGGUUCGAGCCCUCCUGGGAGCG
This 74-nucleotide transfer RNA is filed under the name Rhipicephalus microplus (southern cattle tick). RNAcentral's name for it is "tRNA-Asn". It matches the Rfam family "tRNA". From Rfam's summary of the family: Transfer RNA (tRNA) molecules are approximately 80 nucleotides in length. The record is from Rfam by way of RNAcentral. Lineage: Eukaryota; Metazoa; Arthropoda; Arachnida; Ixodida; Ixodidae.